RNAcentral lists this ribosomal RNA (484 nucleotides) under uncultured bacterium. RNAcentral describes it as "partial 16S ribosomal RNA". It matches the Rfam family "Bacterial small subunit ribosomal RNA", at positions 30 to 507 of the family's 1533-position model. The record is from RNAcentral.
AUUGAACGCUGGCGGCAGGCCUAACACAUGCAAGUCGAGCGGAUGAAGGGAGCCUGCUCCUGGAUUCAGCGGCGGACGGGUGAGUAAUGCCUAGGAAUCUGCCUGGUAGUGGGGGAUAACGUCCGGAAACGGGCGCUAAUACCGCAUACGUCCUGAGGGAGAAAGUGGGGGAUCUUCGGACCUCACGCUAUCAGAUGAGCCUAGGUCGGAUUAGCUAGUUGGUGGGGUAAAGGCCUACCAAGGCGACGAUCCGUAACUGGUCUGAGAGGAUGAUCAGUCACACUGGAACUGAGACACGGUCCAGACUCCUACGGGAGGCAGCAGUGGGGAAUAUUGGACAAUGGGCGAAAGCCUGAUCCAGCCAUGCCGCGUGUGGGAAGAAGGUCUUCGGAUUGUAAAGCACUUUAAGUUGGGAGGAAGGGCAGUAAGUUAAUACCUUGCUGUUUUGACGUUACCAACAGAAUAAGCACCGGCUAACUUCGUG